RNAcentral lists this ribosomal RNA (253 nucleotides) under uncultured bacterium. Its description in RNAcentral is "partial 16S ribosomal RNA". It matches the Rfam family "Bacterial small subunit ribosomal RNA", at positions 524 to 776 of the family's 1533-position model. The record is from RNAcentral.
UACGAAGGGGGCUAGCGUUGUUCGGAAUUACUGGGCGUAAAGCGCGCGCAGGCGGUCUUCCAAGUCAGUGGUGAAAGCCUGGAGCUCAACUCCAGAACUGCCAUUGAAACUGUUAGACUUGAGUACGAGAGAGGUGAGUGGAAUUCCCAGUGUAGGGGUGAAAUUCGUAGAUAUUGGGAAGAACACCGGUGGCGAAGGCGGCUCACUGGCUCGUAACUGACGCUCAGGCGCGACAGCGUGGGGAUCAAACAGG